This 98-nucleotide ribosomal RNA is filed under the name Octodon degus (degu). Lineage: Eukaryota; Metazoa; Chordata; Mammalia; Rodentia; Octodontidae. The record is from RNAcentral.
GUCUACGGCCAUAACACCCUGGACGCGCCUGUUCUCAUCUGACCUUAGAAGCUAAGCAGGGUCAGGCCUGGUUAGUACUUGGAUGGGAGCAAUUCAUU